CAGUAGCCGCGGUAAUACGUAGGUGGCAAGCGUUGUCCGGAAUUAUUGGGCGUAAAGGGCUCGCAGGCGGUUGCUUAAGUCUGAUGUGAAAGCCCCCGGCUCAACCGGGGAGGGUCAUUGGAAACUGGGAAACUUGAGUGCAGAAGAGGAGAGUGGAAUUCCACGUGUAGCGGUGAAAUGCGUAGAGAUGUGGAGGAACACCAGUGGCGAAGGCGACUCUCUGGUCUGUAACUGACGCUGAGGAGCGAAAGCGUGGGGGGCGAACAGGAUUAGAGACCCGAGUAGUCCCUGUCUCUUAUAC
RNAcentral lists this ribosomal RNA (301 nucleotides) under uncultured bacterium. RNAcentral describes it as "partial 16S ribosomal RNA". It matches the Rfam family "Bacterial small subunit ribosomal RNA", at positions 509 to 807 of the family's 1533-position model. The record is from RNAcentral.